AACGAACGCUGGCGGCAUGCCUAACACAUGCAAGUCGAACGAGACCUUCGGGUCUAGUGGCGCACGGGUUCGUCACGCGUGGGAACCUGCCCUUAUGUUCGGAAUAACUCCCCGAAAGGGGUGCCAAUACCGGAUAAUGUCUUCGGCCCAAAGAUUUAUCGCCUUUGGAUGGGCCCUCGUUGGAUUAGCUAGUUGGUAGGGUAAAAGCCUACCAAGGCGACCAUCCAUAGCUGGUCUGAGAGGAUGAUCAGCCACACUGGGACGGAGACACGGCCCAGACUCCUACGGGAGGCAGCAGUGGGGAAUAUUGGACAGUGGGCGAAAGCCUGAUCCAGCAAGGACGGGUGAGUGAUGAAGGCAUUAGGGUUGUAAAGCGCUUUUACCCGGGAUGAUAAUGACAGUACCGGGAGAAUAAGCUCCGGCUAACUCCGUG
This 433-nucleotide ribosomal RNA is filed under the name uncultured bacterium. RNAcentral's name for it is "partial 16S ribosomal RNA". It matches the Rfam family "Bacterial small subunit ribosomal RNA", at positions 29 to 507 of the family's 1533-position model. The record is from RNAcentral.